Molecule: non-coding RNA, 381 nt
Organism: Cinara cedri
Lineage: Eukaryota; Metazoa; Arthropoda; Insecta; Hemiptera; Aphididae
Source: the annotation of a GenBank genome assembly
AAAAAUACAUAGAAGAAGUAUAAAGGUGCCUUCUGUUUUAAUCCUUUUACCCGACAAAGAUUGCAUAAUAUGAUUACCGUUUACCAUAAGGUUUUAUUUGUCUACAAGUGUAACCAUAUUAUUCAUUCAAUUUAUUGUAUUAUACUUUGUGGCGCUUAGGUGUUGAAUAACUAUCAAUAUACGGGGUGAUCAAUCUAUCAUAAGACAAUCAUUAUCUCAGAAAAUAUUAAUUUUUUCCGGAAUUUAUUUUCUAGAACAUUUAAGAAACAAGCUGCUAUACAAUUUUAUAUUUAAGUUAUUUCUUGUCACCCUUAUUUUUGGAAGUGAAUACCUAUUUUUGAUUUUUAAAUGGUAACCUGUAUUCAAAAUUCCAUAAAUAAA